This 2997-nucleotide ribosomal RNA is filed under the name Desulforamulus ferrireducens. RNAcentral describes it as "bacterial LSU rRNA". It matches the Rfam family "Bacterial large subunit ribosomal RNA". Lineage: Bacteria; Bacillati; Bacillota; Clostridia; Eubacteriales; Peptococcaceae. The record is from RNAcentral.
UGGUCAAGAAGAAAAGGGCAUACGGUGGAUGCCUUGGCGCUAUGGGCCGAAGAAGGGCGCGGUAAGCUGCGAAAAGCUACGGGGAGCUGCAAGCAAGCCUUGAUCCGUAGAUACCCGAAUGGGGCAACCCGGCGGAGCAAACCUCCGUCACCCUAUGCUGAACACAUAGGCAUAGAGGAGGGCACCCGGGGAACUGAAACAUCUAAGUACCCGGAGGAAAAGAAAGAAACAUCGAACCCCUCAGUAGCGGCGAGCGAACAGGGGCGAGCCUAAACCAGAUUUCUUCGGAAAUCUGGGGUUGCGGGACCCUCGUAACGUGAAGACUAGACCUAGCCGAAGACACCUGGAAAGGUGCUGCGCAGAAGGUAAAACACCUGUAGGCGAAAGGUCGAAAUUUGCAGAGGGGAUCCCAAGUACCGCAGGACACGUGAAACCCUGUGGGAAUCCGGGGGGACCACCCCCCAAGGCUAAAUACCCAUAGCGACCGAUAGUGAACAAGUACCGUGAGGGAAAGGUGAAAAGCACCCCGGGAGGGGAGUGAAAAAGAACCUGAAACCGUAUGCUUACAAGCUGUCAGAGCACGGUUAAAGUGUGAUGGCGUACUUUUUGUAGAACGGACCGGCGAGUUACAUCUAACGUGCAGGUUAAGUUGUGAGAGACGGAGCCAUAGCGAAAGCGAGUCUUAAUAGGGCGCAAUGUACGUUGGAGUAGACCCGAAACCUGGUGAUCUACCCAUGUCCAGAGUGAAGCUUUAGUAAAAUAAAGUGGAGGCUCGAACCGACCUUCGUUGAAAAGGAGGCGGAUGAGGUGUGGGUAGGGGUGAAAUGCCAAUCGAACCAGGAGAUAGCUGGUUCUCCCCGAAAUAGCUUUAGGGCUAGCCUCGGUUUGAGGUAUACGGAGGUAGAGCACUGAAUGGGCUAGGGGCCUUCACGGGUUACCGAACCCAAUCAAACUCCGAAUGCCGUACUACCAUGACCGGGAGUCAGACUGCGGGUGCUAAGAUUCGUAGUCAAAAGGGAAACAGCCCAGACCAACAGCUAAGGUCCCCAAGACAUGCUAAGUGGAAAAGGAUGUGGGGUUGCAGAGACAACCAGGAUGUUGGCUUAGAAGCAGCCACCAUUUAAAGAGUGCGUAAUAGCUCACUGGUCAAGUGGCCCUGCGCCGAAAAUGAAACGGGGCUAAGCAUGACACCGAAGCUUUGGAUUCUCGAGGUUCGAUGUUCGAGAUUCGAUGUUCGAAAGGAGAACCGAACUUCGAAUAUCGAACUUCGAGAAUGGUAGGGGAGCGUUCCUAGUUCGUAGAAGUCGUACCGAAAGGAGCGGUGGAGGACUAGGAAGUGAGAAUGCCGGUAUGAGUAAGCGAAAAGGCAGGUGAGAAUCCUGCCCGCCGAAAACCUAAGGUUUUCUGGGGAAGGUUCGUCCGCCCAGAGUAAGUCGGGACCUAAGCCGAGGCCGCAAGGCGUAGGCGAUGGACAAUCGGUUGAGAAUCCGAUACCACCAAUAACCGUUUGAGGAUGGAGUGACGCAGGAGGGUAGGUUAAGCCAGCGGAUGGAAAAGCUGGUCCAAGCCAGUAGGGAGUGUGGUAGGCAAAUCCGCCACACGUAAAUCCUGAGAGGUGACGGGGAGCGAAAAAUAGUAGCGAAGUAACUGAUCCCAAACUGCCAAGAAAAGCUUCUAACGAGGUAGAUUGGUGCCCGUACCGCAAACCGACACAGGUAGGUGGGGUGAAAAUCCUAAGGCGCGCGAGAGAACCCUCGUUAAGGAACUCGGCAAAAUGACCCCGUAACUUCGGGAGAAGGGGUGCCUCGAUAUCGUGAAAGAAAAGCUUCUGGAGCGAGAAGAGGCCGCAGAGAAAAGGCCCAAGCGACUGUUUACCAAAAACACAGGUCCCUGCUAAAGCGAAAGCUGACGUAUAGGGGCUGACGCCUGCCCGGUGCUGGAAGGUUAAGGGGAAAUGUUAGCGCAAGCGAAGCAUAGAACCGAAGCCCCAGUAAACGGCGGCCGUAACUAUAACGGUCCUAAGGUAGCGAAAUUCCUUGUCAGGUAAGUUCUGACCCGCACGAAAGGCGUAACGAUUUGGGCACUGUCUCAACGAGGGGCUCGGUGAAAUUGUAAUGACGGUGAAGAUGCCGUCUACCUGCGACAGGACAGAAAGACCCCGUGGAGCUUUACUGUAGCUUGACAUUGGGUUUUGGUAUUUGAUGUACAGGAUAGGUGGGAGACUUGGAAGUCGGGACGCCAGUUUCGAUGGAGUCGCCGUUGGGAUACCACCCUUUAGAUAUUGAAAUUCUAACUUUAUGCCUUGAAGCAGGUAUAAGGACAGUGUCAGGUGGGCAGUUUGACUGGGGCGGUCGCCUCCCAAAAGGUAACGGAGGCGCCCAAAGGUUCCCUCAGCGCGGACGGAAAUCGCGCGUUAGAGUGCAAAGGCAAAAGGGAGCUUGACAGCGAGACCAACAAGUCGAGCUGGUACGAAAGUAGGGCUUAGUGAUCCGGCGGUUCUGAGUGGAAGGGCCGUCGCUCAACGGAUAAAAGCUACCCCGGGGAUAACAGGCUUAUCUCCCCCAAGAGUCCACAUCGACGGGGAGGUUUGGCACCUCGAUGUCGGCUCAUCGCAUCCUGGGGCUGAAGUAGGUCCCAAGGGUUGGGCUGUUCGCCCAUUAAAGCGGUACGUGAGCUGGGUUCAGAACGUCGUGAGACAGUUCGGUCCCUAUCCGUCGCAGGCGCAGGAAACUUGAGAAGAGCUGUCCCUAGUACGAGAGGACCGGGAUGGACGGAUCACUGGAGUACCAGCUAUCGUGCCAACGGUAGUGCUGGGUAACUAUAUCCGGACGGGAUAAGUGCUGAAAGCAUCUAAGCACGAAGCCCCCUUCAAGAUGAGGUUUCCCACUACGCAAGUAGGUAAGAUCCCAUGCAGACUACGUGGUAGAUAGGCCGGGUGUGUAAGCACAGUAAUGUGUUGAGCUGACCGGUACUAAUAGAUCGAGGUCUUGACCAAAU